This 490-nucleotide ribosomal RNA is filed under the name uncultured bacterium. RNAcentral describes it as "partial 16S ribosomal RNA". It matches the Rfam family "Bacterial small subunit ribosomal RNA", at positions 28 to 507 of the family's 1533-position model. The record is from RNAcentral.
GAUGAACGCUAGCUACAGGCUUAACACAUGCAAGUCGAGGGGCAGCAUGGUCUUAGCUUGCUAAGGCCGAUGGCGACCGGCGCACGGGUGAGUAACACGUAUCCCACCUGCCGUCUACUCUUGGACAGCCUUCUGAAAGGAAGAUUAAUACAAGAUGGCAUCAUGAGUCCGCAUGUUCACAUGAUUAAAGGUAUUCCGGUAGACGAUGGGGAUGCGUUCCAUUAGAUAGUAGGCGGGGUAACGGCCCACCUAGUCUUCGAUGGAUAGGGGUUCUGAGAGGAAGGUCCCCCACAUUGGAACUGAGAAACGGUCCAAACACCUACGGGAGGCAGCAGUGAGGAAGAUUGGUCAAUGGGCGAGAGCCUGAACCAGCCAAGUAGCGUGAAGGAUGACUGCCCUAGGGGUUGUAAACUUCUUUUAUAAAGGAAUAAAGUCGGGUAUGGAUACCCGUUUGCAUGUACUUGAUGAAUAAGGAUCGGCUAACUCCGUG